RNAcentral lists this ribosomal RNA (527 nucleotides) under Homidia laha. RNAcentral describes it as "partial 16S ribosomal RNA". It matches the Rfam family "Bacterial large subunit ribosomal RNA", at positions 1794 to 2620 of the family's 2925-position model. The record is from RNAcentral. Lineage: Eukaryota; Metazoa; Arthropoda; Collembola; Entomobryomorpha; Entomobryidae.
CGUCGACUGUUUUACAAAAACAUUUCUUUUCGGUUUUCUGGAAAGUAAGGCCUGCCCACUGAAGUUUUGAAGGGCCGCGGUAUUAUGACCGUGCUAAGGUAGCAUAAUCAUUAGUCUCUUAAUUAGGGAAUGGAAUGAAUGGCUUUAUUUAAAGGUCUUUUAAAAGCUACAAAUUUAUUUAAAUUUUAAUUUUAAGUGAAAAUGCUUAAAUAAAAUUAAAAGACGAUAAGACCCUAUAGAGCUUAAUUUCUUUGUACACCAUGAUAUUAGGAGAAAAAAUUAUUGUGUAAAUGAGGUUUAAUUGGGGCAAUUUUAGAAUAAUAACAACUUCUAAUAAUAAAAUAAAUCUUAAAAUUUAAAAUUUAAAUAGUUACCUUAGGGAUAACAGCGUAAUAGUUUUUGAGAGCCCAAAUCGACGGAACUGUUUGCGACCUCGAUGUUGAAUUAAAAAUUCUUUUAGGGGCAGAUUUUUAAUAAGAUAGUCUGUUCGACUAUUAAAAUUUUACAUGAUUUGAGUCCAGACCAGA